UUUUACUCCCUGGCUUAAAAACUAUUAUUUGUCUGGCUCUUUUCUUCUUCAUGUACUUUAUAUUAUCAGUGCAUCAUUUAAACUUUAAGAUGAAACCUAGAUACAGCACUCAGACCCCUGGGGAGUUCAUUCCUAUAGCCGAACGAUGCUUUCGGACCUCUCUGCCAGGGUGCAUCCUUCUACCGAAUGAUUCAAGAGAGCAGUCUUCAUUCACUUCUGCCACUCUUCUGGUGAGACCUGUGACAGCACAGCACAGAGGGAGCAGCCUACAGAGUUGGGGGCAGGUCCCACCUCUCCCUCGUACCCUCCAUCCCUGCCCACUGGGAGCCAGCUCUAUGCUGCUGCAGAAGAAUCAGGCACCCGGGGGAAAGAAGAGAGAUUAA
RNAcentral lists this long non-coding RNA (383 nucleotides) under Struthio camelus australis. RNAcentral's name for it is "lncRNA (ENSSCUG00000013373.1)". The record is from RNAcentral. Lineage: Eukaryota; Metazoa; Chordata; Aves; Struthioniformes; Struthionidae.